GCCGGGCGUGGUGGCUCACACCUGUAAUCCCAGCUACUGGGGAGGCUGAGAUGGGAGGAUCACUUGAACCCAGGAGGCUGAGGUUGCAGUGAGCCAAGAUCCCACCACUGCACUCCAGCCUGGGUAACAAAGUGAGACCCUGUUUCAA
Molecule: unclassified non-coding RNA, 148 nt
Organism: Pongo abelii (Sumatran orangutan)
Lineage: Eukaryota; Metazoa; Chordata; Mammalia; Primates; Hominidae
Rfam family: Metazoan signal recognition particle RNA
About the family: The signal recognition particle (SRP) is a universally conserved ribonucleoprotein. It is involved in the co-translational targeting of proteins to membranes. The eukaryotic SRP consists of a 300-nucleotide 7S RNA and six proteins: SRPs 72, 68, 54, 19, 14, and 9.
Source: Ensembl